AAAUGAUGAAAUUGUCGAUCACCUAUCAGGGUAUUUAUUUCCUUAUCCAUAACUACAACUUCACAGUAAGUUUUUGUAAAUUUGGAUGGUGUAAUAUUGGAAGGUUGAAUAUUACCCCUUUUAUGAUGUAAUUUUAUCUCAAAUUAGAAUAAAAAAGUGACAUUACACCAGAAAAGUGGUAAAAUUACACAUUUUCAGAGGUAAAAUAACACAGUUUUCUCGCAUAAAAGAUGUACCCCUUCGCAGAUGUAAUUUUACCAUGAAUUUAUUACAAUGGACUCUCUCGUUAUCAAUUUUGAAGGGACCGUCGAGACCACAACUAUUUACCGAGUUGGAUAAAUACAUCAAAUUCCAACCAAAACAAUAUCGAAAAGUAUUACGUUAAGGGUGCACAGCAACCAAGGAAGUUUUUGUCUUCUUAUUCCUAAAUUGACAAACUUACAGACCCAAUCCUGUAACAAUCCGAUUGUAAAAAUAGGCAAAUUAUGUUGUAAAUCGCUUAGAAGACAGUACUAUAGGAGGUGAAUAAAAAAAAUAUAUCGAUAGUUUCCGUAGUUUCGAACUACUAAAAUAUUUAUAACAAAAAUCUUGGUGUAAAAGCUCUGGUUGAUGACUUUUCAGCACUCAAAUGGAUGCUGAAAAGUACUUUCCAGAUUUAUUAUUUUUGGUACCAUAUGCCGUUUUGUCAUUCGAGAACGACAGAAAAGGUAAGUAGUUUCACAACGGAAUUGCAAAAAAUGUAUUUUCCUCGCUCAAAUGCCACACAACGCUAUUUUUUUAAUUUUUACGAAUUCUCUAACUUUUUUCCUUAUUCUCUGCCAUGAUGUUCCCUACAUUAUUUUACGCCAGAAUAAAUUUUAAACAAAUCCAAGUGUGAGUAUGUAAAGAGAUAAAACUCGUUGUAAUUUACAAUUUGCGACAUUGAAUAUUAACGUUAAAAGUUGAUAGCCGGAAAGACAAUGAUAGGCUGAUGAUUUUUUUGGCAAAAUAAUAAAUACCAAUUAAAUACAAACAGAAUGAUAUGGAAUAAUACUAAGCUUGGUAGAGAAGUAUUCAAAGUACCUCAAGAAAAAAAAUUCAACAGUGUUACGCGUGGAAAAGCGCUAAACGCACCUCACGUCUUUACCGGCGCAUACCCGUUGGCAAUCGUGUUGUCAGAAGAUACUGACAUUUAAUCGAAAGUCAUCUCGCGAUGGCUCUUUGCCGGUGAUCAACCAGAGUCACGAGUAGAAGUGCACUUUGUGCACGAACAAAUAUAUUUCGCGAUUAAUUUUAGUGAAUACUGAAUUUAAGUCCCAUCUGGAUACCCCGUGAAGCAGUACAUUUCUUACAAUGCAAGUCUAACCUAGAAUCAUUUAGAUUUGCCAUCAUCAUGCAUGUGCUCAUGCAGCUCCCAAAUCGUCUUUUUGGAAAAAAAAGAACAUUUUUUGUAUCGAGUUACUAAACGCAAUUUGUAACUAGCCGUUUAAAACCAGCUCAAAUCGCCAAAUACAAACCUAGUUAAGCAAAAACUGAGCGUAUUUCUUCGGUGGUUACAAAUACGGAAAAAUCCUCGAUCUUGUUGCCAGCAAGGGCAACAAAAAGGUUUUGAAAAAUGUCAAAAGUUAGUUAACUAUAAUUAUGAAUACAUUGAUGAAUGGGAUUGUUAAAAUACUUUCAUAAUGUCAUGCUUUUCUUAUUGGCAAUUUGUUCGAAUUGGAAAACGGACCGAUUACCGGAUUCUUUAGACAAUUUUACACAAAGAACAGCUGAAAAAGUUUCUAGGUCACAAGUUUUAAGUUUCAAAAGAAACAGAAAUCAAAAAUCUUCAGAUUUAUAAGCAUUUCCAGUGGAACAAUUUUCUAAGUAAAAUUAGCAAAAUUAUGAAUCAUCCUGCAAAAAUGGGUUGUUUGCAACAAAAAUUAAUAUUUGAAUCAAAAAUUCAAUUUUUAAUCAAUUUUGAUCAAACUUGUAACUUUGUAUUUAACUAUCCUCAAAUUUAGUUUAUUGUUUUUAUUUUCAAAUGAAGCAUUAAAAGAAACCUUACUAGUGAUCAAUUUGACGGAAUUAAUUCAAUUUGCGCACUAUUAGCCAAAAAUUUGUUUUUGAAAUACCAAUUUUCAACGAAAAUAUUUUAGAAAGCACAAUUGAAAAAAAACCUACAUGGAUAUUGAGUUGCCUAACCCAGCCCAGUACAUGUUUUAAAAAUAUAAAUCUUGAGACAAGUCUUACUUUUUUAAUAACAUUUCAAAAAUAAAUCGAAAUCCUGUCAAUGUCACCCUGGUUUAAGCAAUAUUGGAAUGUUGGAUAUUUUUGGUUUUUCUGAAAGAGCCCAAGAUUUCGAACCAAACUGCAUCAAUAACCCAUUUAUUCAUGCAAACAGAAACAGUAGACCGUAUAAGCAAAUUUUUGGGCAUAAAGUCGCAGUCGCAAAAAAAUAUUUUCAAUAUUGUAAGGCCGUUAAAGUUUUUUCGAAAAAAAAAGUUUUCAUGAGUUUUUUGAAAAGUAUACGCAAACUAGGGCAGCGAAUGACCAAGAAGGUUAAAGCUGCCAGAAAUAAAUGAAUUAACAACAACAACAACAUACGUCAAACUAAACUUAAAAAUGAUAAAAAGUCAGAAUCGUCCAAAAAUUACAUGGGACAAUUAUGCGUAGAACGGCAGACUGCCGUGUAGUCCUCAUCUAUCCUUUGCCGAAGACACCAAAUCGAUCCUAAAAUUCCUUCAAAAGAUACAGAUUUUUUAAUUUUCACAUACUUUUUUUAAUAGACUGCUAUUACAUUUGUAUGGAAUUAUUAUGAACAAACUGGUGAUUCAAAAUAGCUUCUUAGUACAUACGGAAGGCACUUAAAAAGUUUCAGCCAGAUUUAAAAAAAAAAACAAAAAUUUAAUUUAAAACAAGCCUAUUUCAUAAAGAAUUGCAUAAAGGGACUUUUGUCCCUUUUAUAUUAACGUCAACUUGUUGCAUUUUUUCCUUCCUCACCUUACUGAAAAUAGGCAAAAAAAAAAUCACUCGAAAAAUGAUAUUCGACUCAGAAUCAAAUUCUGAGCAAGUGUAUGUGUGCCCACCACACACUGAUCAAAAAAUUUUGCACUGGAUUAUCUCGGCACGGGCUCAACCGAUUUUGUCUGUUUUGGUCUCUUUCGAUCCGUCUUAUGGUCCCAUAAGCCGCUAUUGAAAAUUAUAAAGUUUAGUUAAGUACUUCAAAAGUCAAAAAAAACGAUUUUACCAAAAGUC
Long non-coding RNA from Culex pipiens pallens (northern house mosquito), 3216 nucleotides. RefSeq lists it as uncharacterized. The record is from RefSeq and is a predicted model, not a curated record. The transcript is spliced from 3 exons. Lineage: Eukaryota; Metazoa; Arthropoda; Insecta; Diptera; Culicidae.